RNAcentral lists this ribosomal RNA (253 nucleotides) under uncultured bacterium. RNAcentral describes it as "partial 16S ribosomal RNA". It matches the Rfam family "Bacterial small subunit ribosomal RNA", at positions 524 to 776 of the family's 1533-position model. The record is from RNAcentral.
UACGAAGGGUGCAAGCGUUACUCGGAAUGAUUGGGCGUAAAGCGUCUGUAGGUGGCUUUUUAAGUCUGCCGUCAAAUCCCAGGGCUUAACCCUGGACAGGCGGUGGAAACUACCAAGCUGGAGUACGGUAGGGGCAGAGGGAAUUCCCGGUGUAGCGGUGAAAUGCGCAGAUAUCGGGAGGAACACCAAUGGCGAAGGCAGCUCGCUGGGACGGUACUGACGCUGAGACGCGAAAGCGUGGGGAGCAAACAGG